RNAcentral lists this ribosomal RNA (496 nucleotides) under uncultured bacterium. Its description in RNAcentral is "bacterial SSU rRNA". It matches the Rfam family "Bacterial small subunit ribosomal RNA", at positions 9 to 526 of the family's 1533-position model. The record is from RNAcentral.
GAGUUUGAUCCGGCUCAGGAUGAACGCUGGCGGCGCGCCUAACACAUGCAAGUCGAACGGCACCCCUCUCCGGAGGGAAGCGAGUGGCGAACGGCUGAGUAACACGUGGAGAACCUGCCCCCUCCCCCGGGAUAGCCGCCCGAAAGGACGGGUAAUACCGGAUACCCCGGGGUGCCGCAUGGCACCCCGGCUAAAGCCCCGACGGGAGGGGAUGGCUCCGCGGCCCAUCAGGUAGACGGCGGGGUGACGGCCCACCGUGCCGACAACGGGUAGCCGGGUUGAGAGACCGACCGGCCAGAUUGGGACUGAGACACGGCCCAGACUCCUACGGGAGGCAGCAGUGGGGAAUCUUGCGCAAUGGGGGGAACCCUGACGCAGCGACGCCGCGUGCGGGACGGAGGCCUUCGGGUCGUAAACCGCUUUCAGCAGGGAAGAGUCAAGACUGUACCUGCAGAAGAAGCCCCGGCUAACUACGUGCCAGCCGCCGCGGUAAUAC